Molecule: ribosomal RNA, 309 nt
Filed under: uncultured bacterium
Lineage: Bacteria
Description: bacterial SSU rRNA
Rfam family: Bacterial small subunit ribosomal RNA
Source: RNAcentral
GACGAACGCUGGCGGCGUGCCUAACACAUGCAAGUCGAACGAAGCUGCUGAGACUGAUUUCUUCGGAAUGACGAUUCAGCAGACUUAGUGGCGGACGGGUGAGUAACACGUGGGAAUAUACCUAUUGGUGGGGGACAACAAUUGGAAACGAUUGCUAAUACCGCAUAAGCCCUGAGGGGGAAAGAUUUAUUGCCGAUAGAUUAGCCCGCGGAAGAUUAGGUAGUUGGUGGGGUAACGGCCUACCAAGCCGACGAUCUAUAGCUGGUCUGAGAGGACGAUCAGCCACAUUGGAACUGAGACACGGUCCAG